This 45-nucleotide non-coding RNA is filed under the name Schistosoma margrebowiei. The record is from RNAcentral. Lineage: Eukaryota; Metazoa; Platyhelminthes; Trematoda; Strigeidida; Schistosomatidae.
AUCCAGCUGACGACCCUUAAAUAAAACGAAACGUGCGUCCUGGAU